UCUUCUCUUGGUAGCAGCAAUCUUCAGAAAGAGGCCACGGUGCUUAUGCAAACGCCCAGGUCACUCCACACCAAUCUUCUGUUCAAGACAUGACAGGAACCAUCAUCAAAGCACCACAGGGAAGUCAGAGCACAAGCCCACACUCUAGACAGCUUUGUCACCUGACAGCACUGCUUCACCCUGCAGCCUAAGCUCUGAAGUCUCUUAAUAGCCCAGCUAAUUGCUUGCAAUCUCCCGCCCUUUGAGCUUUGUUUCCCUGGCCUGAGAUAGUCUUGGGACACUUGAACAAUGUUUCCUUUGUCUGAUCUUCAUUCAUGUCAUUUUAUCUGAAGAGGGUCUCUGAGCACUCUGGGAAAUUCCCCUUCAGUUAAACUUGUCUAGAACCUGCCUGAUUUCCAGACAGAACACUGGUGACUACCGGGCAUAACGUCUCAACAUUUGUUUAUUAAUACACUGCCCAUCUCUCUCUGACUGGCAGGAGGAGUCCACAAACCUAUUUUAUUCACUGCUGUUUUACAAACUGUGCUAUAUAAAUGAAUGCGUUUGAAUGGAUAGCGUUUCAGUUUCUAUUGGAUUUCAUAUUCCCUGUUAAUUAAUCCAAGGAAAUAAGAGUCACAGGAGGACAUUUAUUUUCUUGUCCAUAUAAUCCCCAAGAGGCCAAUUUUCAUACCUACAUAGCCCAACCCAUUUUGCCUUUAUACCUGUGUCACUUGUUACUGGUCUGUUUGAUUAGUGAAGCUCAGUAUGAUACCUGACUUGAUGUAUGAUAUGUACUCUGAUGGAGUGAUUGAUUGAUUGAUUAUUAACUCUAGGCUUUUCUUCCUGACCACUUUGUUCCCAGGAAUAACAACUUUGAGACUAAUUACUUAUUAAUAAAUGCUUAGGCCUUGGUUCUCUUUCCUAACUAACUCAUGUGUCAAUAAUCCAGUUUAUUCUAUUCUAAGUAUGCCACAUGGCUGGCUACCUUUUUCUCAUGUGUUUCAUGAGGUGUUUCAUAUGUCUGUCUCCUCACAAUUCCUUGGCAAAUCCCUGGUUCACUUAACUCCCAGAAUUCUCUCCCUCCCUGAUGGAUGUUCCACGUUCUAAUUCUGCCUUAGCUCAUUGGCCAUAGCCUUUUUUAUUGAUAGGUGAUGCUAAUAAGAGAUUCUCUCUAUACCUGAUUGAUUGAAUUGAUUGAUUUUUUUUUUUUUUAAUAGUGCUCACUAUGUAGCCCAGGCUUGUCUGGAACUCGCUAUGUGGAGGAGGCUAGCCUCAGACUUAUAGUUACCCUCCUUUUGAGGGUGUGUAUGUCACCAUGCUUGAUUUAUAUAACAUACCCUGUAAAAAUUUUUUUUCUUUUUAUGUUUAUGGGUGUUUGUGUGUAUGUCUGUGCACUUUGUGUGUACAGCUCCUGUGGAGACCAAAAGAAGGUGCUGGGCUCCCUGGAACAAGAGGUACACAGUUGUGAGUUGCCAUGUGAGUGCUGGGAACUGAACCUGGAUCCUCUGGAAGAGCAGCCAGUGCUAUAGACUGCUGAGCCAUCUCUCCAGCAUGAAAAUAGGCAACUAUGCACUAGUAUGAACUGUACCACAAAGCCUCCACACACACAGCCCUCCUCCUCCCAUUCUUUCCUGGCAAAUUAUAACUUUUCCUCCCCAGUGGUUUCUAAAAUAUCUGUUUCUCACAGAUUUCUAUACAUAUCUUCCUUUUCUCUCAUGUGAGGGAGGCCCUCUAGAUGCUUCCUGGCACAUAGGACUCAUUGUUGUCUUCUCCCCCUAUUGUCCUUGGAAAAGAGGCACCAGCUACUCAAGGCCGGAUCAACAGAAGUGGGCAGUAAAACAGUCACAUGGUAAACUGCACGUGUCAGAAUAAGGCUGGGCUCUCAGAUCUUCUAAGAGGCCUCACUUUACUCAAUACACGUGUUUCUUAUAAACUGAUUAUUUUACCAUUAAGUGGCUACCUUAAAAAAAAAUCUUUGCUGUGUGCUACUGAAUACCUACUUAGUGCUCAUCAUCACAAAGGCAUUCAGAUGAGUCAGCUAGCGUCUCCGGGGGGCCGAGAGAAACGGGUGCACCCUCAAUGAAAACAGAGUGCUUCUGAGAUACCUGAGAUCAACGUUUAAGGUUUACUUUUGAGAUUAUAAUGUAAAUGCAUCACUGUUCACUCCCCUUUCUUCCCUCCAAACUCUCCCAUACACCCCUCCUUUUUAAUUAAGUAGCUCUUCACAUACUCAAUACAUCAAUCCAUCCUCUUUAAUAAACUUGUAUUCCCAGGUCCUGUGGCCUGUUCAUUUAUUACAGGGAUCUAAGAGUGCAUUUUGAUGCUAAUAGUAUCAAAGGGAUACCCUUGGUGCACUCUUUAUGGUACUAAUAUUAUGAGAAGGUAUAUGUAUAUGUGCAUAUUUUUGUAUGUUUAUAUGUUGGUAUCUAUUUACAAAUCUGUACCACUUUGUGCACACAUAUAUACAUACAUACAUUCAUAACGUUCCUCCAUAUCUGUAGGCUCUGCAUCUAUGGUUUCACCCAAGCACAGGUCAAAAACACUUAGGGGAAAAAAUGAAGUUUGUAUUGUGAAUG
This 2555-nucleotide long non-coding RNA is filed under the name Mus musculus (house mouse). RNAcentral's name for it is "long non-coding RNA chr2:20689407-20691962". Lineage: Eukaryota; Metazoa; Chordata; Mammalia; Rodentia; Muridae. The record is from RNAcentral.